CUGGCGGCGNGUUCAACACAUGCGGGACGAACGAGAAAGUGGAGCAAUCCAUGAGUACAGUGGCGNAUGGGCGAGUAACACGUGACAACCUACCCUCGAGUGGGGAAUAACCUCGGGAAACCGGGGCUAAUACCGCAUAACAUCUACGGAUCAAAUGCGUAAGCAGCUUGAGGAGGGGGUCGCGGCCGAUUAGCUAGUUGGUGAGGUAAUGGCCCACCAAGGCAAUGAUCGGUAGCCGGCCUGAGAGGGCGCACGGCCACACUGGAACUGAAACACGGUCCAGACUCCUACGGGAGGCAGCAGUGGG
Molecule: ribosomal RNA, 307 nt
Filed under: uncultured Acidobacteriota bacterium
Lineage: Bacteria; Pseudomonadati; Acidobacteriota
Description: bacterial SSU rRNA
Rfam family: Bacterial small subunit ribosomal RNA
Source: RNAcentral